Molecule: ribosomal RNA, 1486 nt
Filed under: uncultured Bordetella sp.
Lineage: Bacteria; Pseudomonadati; Pseudomonadota; Betaproteobacteria; Burkholderiales; Alcaligenaceae
Description: partial 16S-23S ribosomal RNA intergenic spacer
Rfam family: Bacterial small subunit ribosomal RNA
Source: RNAcentral
AACAGAGGGUUUGAAUUCUGGCUCGGAUUGAACACUGGCGGGAUGCUUUACACAUGCAAGUCCAGACGGCAGCACGGACUUCGGUCUGGUGGCGAGUGGCGAACAGGUGAGUAAUGUAUCGGAACGUGCCUAGUAGCGGGGGAUAACUACGCGAAAGCGUAGCUAAUACCGCAUACACCAGCCAGGAAGCAGGGGACAGCCGGGCCUCGCACUAUUAGAGCAGCCGAUGAUAUCGGAUUAGCUAGUUGGUGGGGUAACGGCUCACCAAGGCGACGAUCCGUAGCUGGUUUGAGAGGACGACCAACCACACUGGGACUAGAACGUGAACUCUACGAGGAGCAGCAGUGAGGGAAUUUUGGACAAUGGGGGAAACCUGAUCCAGCCAUCCCGCGUGUGCGAUGAAAGGCCUUCGGCAAGCACUUUUGGCAGGAAGAAACUGGCACGGGAUAAUACCCGUGCAACUGACGGUACAGAAUAAGCACCGGCUAACUACAUGCCAGCAAUACGCGGUAAAUACGUAGGGUGCAAGCGUUAAUCGGAAUUACUGGGCGUAAGGCGUGCGCAGGCGGUUCGGAAAGAAGAUGUGAAGUCCCAGAGCUUAACUUUGGAACUGCAUUUUAACUACCGAGCUAGAGUGUGUCAGAGGGGUGGAAUUCCGCGUGGCAGUGAAAUGCGUAGAUAUGCCGGAGGAACACCGAUGGCGAAACGGCCUCUGGGAUAACACUGACGCUCAUGCGAAACGUGAGCAAACAGUUAGAUACCCUGGUAGUCCACGCCCUAAACGAUGUCAACUAGCUGUUGGGGCCUUCGGGCCUUGGUAGCGCAACUAACGCGUGAAGUUGACCGCCUGGGGGAAUUACAGUCGCAAGAUUAAAGCUCAAAGGAAUUGACGAGGACCCGCACAAGCGGUGAAUCAGUGUGGACGGAUGAACUCGAUGCAACGCGAAAACUGCCUUUACCUACCCUUGACAUAUCUGGAAUCCCGAAGAGAUUUAGGAGUGCUCGCAAGAGAACCGGAGCUUACAGGUGCUGCAUGGCUGUCGUCAGCUCGAUGUCGUGAGAUGGUGGGUUAAGUCCCGCAACGAGCGCAGCCCUUGUCAUUAGUCGCUACGAAAGGGCACUCUAAUGAGACUGCCGGUGACAAACCGGAGGAAGGUGGGGAUGACGUCAGGAUAUCAUGGCCCUUAUGGGUAGGGCUUCACACGUCAUACAAUGGUCGGGACAGAGGGUCGCCAACCCGCGAGGGGAGCCAAACCCAGAAACCCGAUCGUAGAUCCGGAUCGCAGUCUGCAACUCGAGCUGCGUGAAGUCGGAAUCUUUAUUUAAGUAAUCGCGGAUCAGCAUGUCGCGGUGAAUACGUUCCCAGGUCUUGUACACCGCCCGUCACCAUGGGGAGUGGGUUUUACCCGAAGUAGUUAGCCUAACCGUAAGGAGGGCGAUUACCACGGUAGGAUUCAUGACUGGGGUGAAGUCGUAACAAGGGUAA